This 1689-nucleotide long non-coding RNA is filed under the name Marmota monax (woodchuck). The record is from RNAcentral. Lineage: Eukaryota; Metazoa; Chordata; Mammalia; Rodentia; Sciuridae.
GAUAUUCUCUUAAAGAUCCGAAAGCCUGGAGCAAAGGGCCUGCACGCGUGGUAGGCAAGACUCCCUUGCAGCUGACUCACCUUAGACCUGAGCACCCUCUUGGACGCAGGCUCCACCUGGCCCAUUUGCUGCUUCACUUCCUCUGAAGGUAUUUGGGUUAGUCAGCUUUGGCAAGGUUCUGCCGUGGGAACAAGGACUCUCCAAAUCCUAGAGGCUUGUGACUAAGUACAAAGUUUUAUUUCUCUCUUAUUGCAUGUCUUCUGCAGUCAGUUGUGGCUACGUGCCCUGAGUCCUCCGGGUUCUGGGAUCCCGGCAGAAGGAGCAGCCCCUACCCGGGAUAGAGACUCCUGGUGGGGCAGGGCGAGUGUGGGCAAUGGCAGGAAAGAGAGUGGUCUUAAACCUUUGCUCAAGGCAGCAUAGGUCGCUUCCUCGAGAAUACGUGUGGCCAAAGCUGGUCACGUGCAGACCCUGGGUGCCAAUGAUGGGAAAAUAGAACCCUACCUACUCCAGGAAGGUUCAGGUGAGUGGGGAACGCAGGACACAGUCUUCAACCUCAUUUGAAGGUGUUCCUUUCUGACCAGAACACCUUCUGGAGAGAGGCAGGAGUGAGAACUGGAGGGUCCAGAGUGAAAACUCAAAGCUCAUGGCCGACAGCGGUUUCCACGGGCACAGACAAACAAAGAAAAAGUCCCAAGCAAGGCCUGCGUCCAGGAGCAGGGCUGUCACAUUGUCCUCCAAGAAGCAUGCAGCUGAACUGACAGAAGCUGACAGAUGAGGCGGGAAGGGUUAGACCCUUCUGCUCCUGUCUUCAUUUACAGCAAAGGACAGAACACUUUAUCACCUUGGAAACAACUCACAAAGGCAGAGUGUGCAAAGCUGUAGGAAACCCAGUGCACUCUCGGUGACCGGGGCUAAGUGGUGGGGUGGGGCAUCCCGCCACUGGGCUGCGUCCUGGGUAUUGUGUAGGGAGGCAGGUCGCUCCAGCAGGACGAGAGCCGCCUGGCCUUUGAUGGCCCCGCUGACUAUACAAUAUGUUCCUCCUUGUCCUUUGUAUUCACAGAACACAUCGCCCACCAAGGAGAGCGUGGCCACCGUGUCCGACCCUCCAACCUACACCGGGGACAGGCGUUCUCUGCCGCAAGCCCUUCUUUACUCUCUGCCGCCAGUGGUCGCACAGUGAGAGCUGCUGGAGUGAGCCGGAACAGCCUAGCCUGUUUUGCUCUCAUUCCCAAGGUCAUUUUGUGUCACUGCUUGCGGAUGUGUAGUUCCUGAUCCUCUUCUGCCUUUUUAUACUGAUUUGCAUACAAACCACAGGAGAAACUUCUUUGAGAAGCUGACUGGGCUUCUGCCAUGGGCUGGAGAUUCUAGAUUCACUAAAAGACUGGCCACGAUCAUGCUGCGCCAGCCUGAAGGCCGGAGGUGAUUUCUCAGGUCGUGUCCACACCCCACUGGCACUGCCCAAACGGUUGUUCGCCUUUAUGAUAGUGUGUUGAGCUCCUUAGAGGGCCCAGAGAUGAGUGAGCCAGGUGACCGCAGGCCGCUGAGGAUGGCCAGCCUGUCUCUCCUGUCCGUGCUGUACUCCCACACCUGAUGCCUUUCCUAAUGACUGUUCCUGAAUUUUAUUUACAUUUUACUGUAGAAAAUAUUUAAUUUUGUGCCAGAUUAAACUUUACUGAGCUCAAAACUUCA